GCUGUUAUGGCUCAGUCGGUAGAGCGUCACCUUGGUAAGGUGGAGGUCACGGGUUCGAUUCCCGUUAACAGCU
Molecule: transfer RNA, 73 nt
Rfam family: tRNA
About the family: Transfer RNA (tRNA) molecules are approximately 80 nucleotides in length. Their secondary structure includes four short double-helical elements and three loops (D, anti-codon, and T loops).
Source: Rfam